GUUUGAUCCUGGCUCAGAUUGAACGCUGGCGGAAUGCUUUACACAUGCAAGUCGAACGGUAGAGGGGGCAACCCUUGAGAGUGGCGAACGGGUGAGUAAUAUAUCGGAACGUGCCCAGUCGUGGGGGAUAACGUAGCGAAAGUUACGCUAAUACCGCAUACGAUCUAUGGAUGAAAGCGGGGGAUCGCAAGACCUCGCGCGAUUGGAGCGGCCGAUAUCAGAUUAGGUAGUUGGUGAGGUAAAGGCUCACCAAGCCGACGAUCUGUAGCUGGUCUGAGAGGACGACCAGCCACACUGGGACUGAGACACGGCCCAGACUCCUACGGGAGGCAGCAGUGGGGAAUUUUGGACAAUGGGCGCAAGCCUGAUCCAGCAAUGCCGCGUGCAGGAUGAAGGCCUUCGGGUUGUAAACUGCUUUUGUACGGAACGAAACGGUGAGCUCUAAUACAGUUUGCUAAUGACGGUACCGUAAGAAUAAGCACCGGCUAACUACGUG
RNAcentral lists this ribosomal RNA (496 nucleotides) under uncultured bacterium. RNAcentral describes it as "bacterial SSU rRNA". It matches the Rfam family "Bacterial small subunit ribosomal RNA", at positions 11 to 507 of the family's 1533-position model. The record is from RNAcentral.